GCCAUGCACCAUUCAAUGAAAAUGGAUCCACAUGGAUUAUGGGAUAAAACCAAACCAUCUAAAUUAAAUUUAUAAUUCCAAGUAAUAUGAAAAUUUCUUUGCCAUUGACCUAAGUUCACACAUCUAACAUGUUUUUUUGGGAUAGAAUGAUAAAGACAUGAUAAAUUA
Long non-coding RNA from Hibiscus syriacus, 168 nucleotides. RefSeq lists it as uncharacterized. The record is from RefSeq and is a predicted model, not a curated record. The transcript is spliced from 3 exons. Lineage: Eukaryota; Viridiplantae; Streptophyta; Magnoliopsida; Malvales; Malvaceae.